This 435-nucleotide ribosomal RNA is filed under the name uncultured bacterium. RNAcentral's name for it is "partial 16S ribosomal RNA". It matches the Rfam family "Bacterial small subunit ribosomal RNA", at positions 29 to 507 of the family's 1533-position model. The record is from RNAcentral.
AGCGAACGCUGGCGGCAGGCCUAACACAUGCAAGUCGAGCGGGAACUUUCGGGUGUCUGCGGCGGACGGGUGAGUAACGCGGGGGAACGUGCCCACUGGUUCGGAAUUACUCAGGGAAACUUGAGCUAAUACCGGAUACGCCCUUAUGGGGAAAGGCUUGCUGCCGGAGGAUGGGCCCUCGUCUGAGUAGCUAGUUGGUGAGGUAAGGGCGCACCAAGGCGACGAUCAGUAGCUGGCAUGAGAGGAUGAUGAGACACACUGGCACUAAGACGCGGUCCGGACUCCUGCGGGAUGGGGGAGUGGGGGAUAUUGGACUAUCGGCGCAAGGCUGAUGCAGCCCGGCUGGUAAAGUGAUUUUGUCCUUAGAGAAGUGAAGCUCUUUAAUCCGGGACGAUAAUGACGGUACCGGAAGAAUAAGCCCCGGCUAACUUCGUG